Molecule: non-coding RNA, 23 nt
Filed under: Arabidopsis thaliana (thale cress)
Lineage: Eukaryota; Viridiplantae; Streptophyta; Magnoliopsida; Brassicales; Brassicaceae
Source: RNAcentral
GCUGCUAGCUCAUGCUUCCGAUA